RNAcentral lists this ribosomal RNA (250 nucleotides) under uncultured bacterium. RNAcentral's name for it is "partial 16S ribosomal RNA". It matches the Rfam family "Bacterial small subunit ribosomal RNA", at positions 524 to 773 of the family's 1533-position model. The record is from RNAcentral.
UACGAAGGGGGCUAGCGUUGUUCGGAAUGACUGGGCGUAAAGGGCGCGUAGGCGGUUAUUCAAGUUGGAGGUGAAAGCCCGAAGCUUAACUUCGGAAUUGCCUUCAAAACUGGGUAGCUUGAGUAUGGAAGAGGGUUGUGGAAUUCCCAGUGUAGAGGUGAAAUUCGUAGAUAUUGGGAAGAACACCGGUGGCGAAGGCGGCAACCUGGUCCAUUACUGACGCUGAGGCGCGACAGCGUGGGGAGCAAAC